Molecule: ribosomal RNA, 491 nt
Filed under: uncultured bacterium
Lineage: Bacteria
Description: partial 16S ribosomal RNA
Rfam family: Bacterial small subunit ribosomal RNA
Source: RNAcentral
AGUGAACGCUGGCGGUAGGCCUAACACAUGCAAGUCGAACGGCAGCACAGUAAGAGCUUGCUCCUACGGGUGGCGAGUGGCGGACGGGUGAGGAAUACAUCGGAAUCUACUUUUUCGUGGGGGAUAACGUAGGGAAACUUACGCUAAUACCGCAUACGACCUACGGGUGAAAGCAGGGGAUCUUCGGACCUUGCGCGAUUGAAUGAGCCGAUGUCGGAUUAGCUAGUUGGCGGGGUAAAGGCCCACCAAGGCGACGAUCCGUAGCUGGUCUGAGAGGAUGAUCAGCCACACUGGAACUGAGACACGGUCCAGACUCCUACGGGAGGCAGCAGUGGGGAAUAUUGGACAAUGGGCGCAAGCCUGAUCCAGCCAUACCGCGUGGGUGAAGAAGGCCUUCGGGUUGUAAAGCCCUUUUGUUGGGAAAGAAAAGCAGCAGGUUAAUACCCCGCUGUUCUGACGGUACCCAAAGAAUAAGCACCGGCUAACUUCGU